UGGAAGGGGCAUGCAGAGGAG
Molecule: microRNA, 21 nt
Filed under: Oryza sativa (Asian cultivated rice)
Lineage: Eukaryota; Viridiplantae; Streptophyta; Magnoliopsida; Poales; Poaceae
Also listed under: 9 other names
Description: osa-miR528-5p
Gene: osa-miR528-5p
Source: miRBase by way of RNAcentral